Molecule: ribosomal RNA, 889 nt
Filed under: uncultured beta proteobacterium
Lineage: Bacteria; Pseudomonadati; Pseudomonadota; Betaproteobacteria
Description: bacterial SSU rRNA
Rfam family: Bacterial small subunit ribosomal RNA
Source: RNAcentral
GUCGGACGGCAGCACGGGUGCUUGCACCUGGUGGCGAGUGGCGAACGGGUGAGUAAUACAUCGGAACAUGUCCUGUAGUGGGGGAUAGCCCGGCGAAAGCCGGAUUAAUACCGCAUACGAUCUACGGAUGAAAGCGGGGGACCUUCGGGCCUCGCGCUAUAGGGUUGGCCGAUGGCUGAUUAGCUAGUUGGUGGGGUAAAGGCCUACCAAGGCGACGAUCAGUAGCUGGUCUGAGAGGACGACCAGCCACACUGGGACUGAGACACGGCCCAGACUCCUACGGGAGGCAGCAGUGGGGAAUUUUGGACAAUGGGCGAAAGCCUGAUCCAGCAAUGCCGCGUGUGUGAAGAAGGCCUUCGGGUUGUAAAGCACUUUUGUCCGGAAAGAAAUCCUUGGCUCUAAUACAGUCGGGGGAUGACGGUACCGGAAGAAUAAGCACCGGCUAACUACGUGCCAGCAGCCGCGGUAAUACGUAGGGUGCGAGCGUUAAUCGGAAUUACUGGGCGUAAAGCGUGCGCAGGCGGUUUGCUAAGACCGAUGUGAAAUCCCCGGGCUCAACCUGGGAACUGCAUUGGUGACUGGCAGGCUAGAGUAUGGCAGAGGGGGGUAGAAUUCCACGUGUAGCAGUGAAAUGCGUAGAGAUGUGGAGGAAUACCGAUGGCGAAGGCAGCCCCCUGGGCCAAUACUGACGCUCAUGCACGAAAGGGUGGGGAGCAAACAGGAUUAGAUACCCUGGUAGUCCACGCCCUAAACGAUGUCAACUAGUUGUUGGGGAUUCAUUUCCUUAGUAACGUAGCUAACGCGUGAAGUUGACCGCCUGGGGAGUACGGUCGCAAGAUUAAAACUCAAAGGAAUUGACGGGGACCCGCACAAGCGGUGGAUGAUGUGG